RNAcentral lists this ribosomal RNA (1018 nucleotides) under Megascolecidae sp. YN201756-01. Its description in RNAcentral is "partial small subunit ribosomal RNA". The stretch from base 1 to 344 matches the Rfam family "Bacterial small subunit ribosomal RNA", at positions 950 to 1533 of the family's 1533-position model. The record is from RNAcentral. Lineage: Eukaryota; Metazoa; Annelida; Clitellata; Crassiclitellata; Megascolecidae.
CCCGAUAAUCCACGUAUACUCAACCUUCUAUUGAUACUACAGCAUGUGUACUGCCGUUGUAAGCAUACCUCUAAAAGUAAGUAUGCCAUCAUGAUGCUAAACUCAUAUACAUCAGGUCAAAGUGCAGCUAAUAAGGAGGUGAUGAUGGGUUACAACCCAAAAACGGACUAUCAAAUAAGAAAUAAAAAAUCUUAUGAAAGUGGACUUGGCCGUAAUCAAUUUACAAGUUAAAAAAAUGAAUAAACAUCUAAGAUAUGCACACAUCGCCCGUCAUUCUACCCUAAAGGGUAGACAAGUCGUAACAAAGUAGGCGUAAUGGAAAUUGCGCCUGUCGGAGUAUAGCAUAUAUAAUGCUUUUUACUUACACUAAAAAUAAAGUUAAUAAACUUGCUUCGCAAAAAAUUUAGAGCCCUAAAAAUUAAUUUAAUUUACAACCAUACAAAAUAAAGUACAGAAAUGGAAGAAAUAAUUAAUAAAAGUAAAUAUUAAAAAUUGUACCUUGUGCAUUAUGGUUUUACAAGAAAAUAAUUAAAAAUACUAGUCCCGAAUUCUAAAUGAGAUGUUAAACUGCUGUUAAGAACCCAUUAGUAGCUGUAGAAAAAGCUUUUAAAGACUGUUUAACAGGGGCUACAUACCAUCCGCAUAAGAAUAUAUCUGGUUUUCAACAAACAUUAUUCAUUAAAACAUAUAAUUAUAUUAUAGUGUAAUGUUAUUGAGGAUAAGCCCAAUAACUAAGGCAAUAACAUAUAAACCUAUUUUAUACACUAGGCCUAAAACCAGCCAAUUAUAAUGCUUUAUCGCAAUGUAUGAUGAUAUAAUACAUAUGCUAAUAUGCUAAAUAAAGUUGAAAUAGUGGAUAAACAACUAACCCCACAAAUAAUAUGUAAAAAUAAGUAUUAAAAAACUAUAGUAACCAACUACAAAUAAAAUAAUAAAAAAUAACUAGUUAAGGAACUCGGCAAACAAAUAUUUCGACUGUUUAACAAAAACAUUGUCUCAUGAAUAAAACAUAUGAGAU